CAGUCGCCGCGGUAAUGCGUAGGGUGCAAGCGUUAAUCGGAAUUACUGGGCGUAAAGCGUGCGCAGGCGGUUAUAUAAGUCAGAUGUGAAAUCCCCGGGCUCAACCUGGGAACUGCAUUUGAGACUGUAUGGCUAGAGUGUGUCAGAGGGGGGUAGAAUUCCACGUGUAGCAGUGAAAUGCGUGGAUAUGUGGAGGAAUACCGAUGGCGAAGGCAGCCCCCUGGGAUGACACUGACGCUCAUGCACGAAAGCGUGGGGAGCAAACAGGAUUAGAUACCCCAGUAGUCCCUGUCUCUUAUAC
This 301-nucleotide ribosomal RNA is filed under the name uncultured bacterium. Its description in RNAcentral is "partial 16S ribosomal RNA". It matches the Rfam family "Bacterial small subunit ribosomal RNA", at positions 509 to 807 of the family's 1533-position model. The record is from RNAcentral.